UCAGUGACGAUGUCAGUGGGACAACCAA
This 28-nucleotide small RNA is filed under the name Bombyx mori (domestic silkworm). RNAcentral's name for it is "ovarian small RNA-25793". Lineage: Eukaryota; Metazoa; Arthropoda; Insecta; Lepidoptera; Bombycidae. The record is from RNAcentral.